AGGGAAAUAGUUUAUGUAAAAUACUAGCUUUGGGGGUUAGAGAAUUUAAUUUUAUAUUUUUAUA
This 64-nucleotide transfer RNA is filed under the name Cymothoa indica. RNAcentral describes it as "tRNA-Pro". Lineage: Eukaryota; Metazoa; Arthropoda; Malacostraca; Isopoda; Cymothoidae. The record is from RNAcentral.